RNAcentral lists this ribosomal RNA (440 nucleotides) under uncultured bacterium. RNAcentral's name for it is "partial 16S ribosomal RNA". It matches the Rfam family "Bacterial small subunit ribosomal RNA", at positions 338 to 795 of the family's 1533-position model. The record is from RNAcentral.
CCUACGGGAGGCAGCAGUGGGGAAUAUUGCACAAUGGGGGAAACCCUGAUGCAGCGACGCCGCGUGAGUGAAGAAGUAUUUCGGUAUGGAAAGCUCUAUCAGCAGGGAAGAAAAUACCGGUACCUGAUUAAGCAGCCCCGGCUAAAUACGUGCCAGCACCCGCGGUCAUACGUAGGGGGCAAGCGUUAUCCGGAUUUACUGGGUGUAAAGGGAGCGUAGACGGCAGCACAAGUCUGGAGUGAAAAGCCGGGGCUUAAACCCGGAACGGCUGUGGAAACUGUGUAGCUAGAGUGCAGGAGAGGUAAGUGGAAUUCGUAGUGUAGCGGUGAAAUGCGUAGAUAUUAGGAGGAACACCAGUGGCGAAGGCGGCUUACUGGACUGUAACUGACGUUGAGGCUCGAAAGCGUGGGGAGCAAACAGGAUUAGAUACCCCUGUAGUC